RNAcentral lists this ribosomal RNA (226 nucleotides) under uncultured bacterium. RNAcentral describes it as "partial 16S ribosomal RNA". It matches the Rfam family "Bacterial small subunit ribosomal RNA", at positions 32 to 266 of the family's 1533-position model. The record is from RNAcentral.
AAUCAACGCUGGCGGCGUGCCUAACACAUGCAAGUCGCACGAGAAAGGGGAGCAAUCCCUGAGUAAAGUGGCGCACGGGUGAGUAACACGUGAAUCAUCUACCUCCGAGUGGGGAAGUAACUGAGAGAAAUCUUAGCUAAUACCGCAUAACACUUACGAGUCAAAGCAGCAAUGCGCUUGGAGAGGAGUUCGCGGCCGAUUAGUUAGUUGGCGGGGUAAGUGGCCC